CCAUCAACCAAGAGGAUGUGCGGUGCUUAUGGACUUUGUGUUUUCCUCAUUGUAUUUGUAGGAACUUCAAACUGCAUAAUAGUUCAACAGAUCUCAUCACUCCUCGCCAAUGAAACAAAGAGCAUAACGAUCACAUGCAGCCAUGAUGACAGUAGCAAAACUGUUAUGUUAUGGUAUCAGCAAAAGACUGACACUACAGCUAUGGCUCUGAUCGGCUACACCGCUACACGCAUGAGUGAUCCGGUCUAUGAAGAUGGAUUUACUAAAGAGCGAAUUAAAUUAAACAGACAAGGAGACACAGAAGGAGAUCUGACCAUCUCUAGACUCCUCCAGUCUGAUUCUGCUGUUUAUUACUGUGCUGCUAAAGAGCACAGUGCUGCAUGUUCAUACGACUACUGUACUAAAACCCCAAACACCAAACACACAGGAAACAGUACAAACUGUUGCUUUAUGCUGAAUUUCUGGUUUGUUAUCUGACAAUAAAGACCUUUCUAUUCAUUUAUGAGUUCAAUUAUAAAACAGGCUGCAGUGCAGUGCAGAAUAUCUAUUAGCACCCUACUAUAUCCUUCCCUCUUUAAAGAGGGAAAAUAUAAAUAGCUAAAGAAGAAAUCCAAUGUGUGUCAAAUGACGAUUCAAAAUGAAACUAUGGAAAUGUAAUAAUUUGGAAUUCAGUUUCUUUUAUGCACCCCUUUCCUCGUUUCUAACCUGGACACAGAUGCCUGCUUUUGGUCUGCAAAAUAAAAUGUGGUGCUUCCUCCUCUGAUCUAAAUAACUUUAAGCAUUUGUGCAUUAUUCAGUCACCCACAAAUAAGCAUGCCGUAAUGCAUAUUUUGUUCUUCCACCUGUUUCCAUAUCAGUUUUAGCACAUCAUUGUCUGCUUAGUCCUGUUUUAUAGCUUUAUAAACUUGUAUAAAGUUAAAGUGUUGCAGUGGAAAUUCAGCACUGGAACUUGCCUAGAAAUAGCUUAAAAAAAAAACCCAAAAAACAUCAGAGCUGUCAAUAAUCCAUCAACUGUAAAAAAAUAUAUAAAAUAAUAGUAAUAAAAAUAAAUAAAUAAAUAAAGUUAGCUAUUGUGCUAAAUUUUCAGUUAAUUGGGCUUCAAAUGUUAAGUUAACAGAAAGAGAACAUGUGUUUUAUCAGCUGUUUUGUCAGCUGAAGUUUAAAUAAUUCAUCACUGUGAGGAAGCCUUAUUUAUUAUUUAUUAUUAUUUAUUCAUUUGCUUAUUUAAUUAUUUAAACAUGGAAAAUAUUUCAACCUAUUAAAUAUUUCAAGACCAUAAUAUUUAAUUUUCUGUGUUCAAAAUGGGUUUAAGAUAGUAAACUACUAGAUCUGUAAAACAUGACUGUUGAUACAACUUAAUUACAUUACUGACUAGCUAAAGGCUUGAUGAUGAUGCACAUUCUUAAACCUUAAAGAUUUAAUACAGACACAGCAAAUUAUCACAAAAUGUGUGUAUGUUCAAACUUUUCAUAAACAUAGUUUGUAUUACAAAGUUUGCACGGGUUCUGCAUUCUUUUGGUUUUCUUUUGAUUUUCUUUUGAAAUCAUAGGUUACAUUGUUAAGCUUUGCCAUUAUGUUUGUUGCUUUGUAACUUAUUAUUGACUCUCUUAUUAUGAGUUUCUCAAAAAUUACUUGGCUUUUAACUUUUAUUUAUGUUACAUUCCCUUUUAGUUUUCGCCAUACACCAUUUCUGGUGAAGUGUUUGCUGGUGAAUUCUGGUGGUGAAGUGAUCGUGCUCCUCCCUCAAACCAUCCUCAGACAUUACAGCAGAGCAAAACUGGAGAAUAUUACACCCAGUUUGAGUCACUUAAGUUCUCUGCUGACUUUCUGUGACUCUGUCUUGAACUGUGCAUCAGCAAGAUGUAUGUUACGUCUAGACUGUGUUUGUUUUUCAUUUUGUUUUUAG
Pygocentrus nattereri (red-bellied piranha) is the source of this 1906-nucleotide long non-coding RNA. Lineage: Eukaryota; Metazoa; Chordata; Actinopteri; Characiformes; Serrasalmidae. The record is from Ensembl.